RNAcentral lists this ribosomal RNA (420 nucleotides) under uncultured bacterium. Its description in RNAcentral is "bacterial SSU rRNA". It matches the Rfam family "Bacterial small subunit ribosomal RNA", at positions 355 to 774 of the family's 1533-position model. The record is from RNAcentral.
UAAGGAAUAUUGCUCAAUGGGAGAAAUCCUGAAGCAGCAACGCCGCGUGGAGGAUGAAGGGUCUAUGACUUGUAAACUCCUGUAAAGAAGGAAAAAAUUCCCAUUUGAUGGGAGAUGAUGGUACUUCUGGAGUAAGCCCCGGCUAACUACGUGCCAGCAGCCGCGGUAAUACGUAGGGGGCAAGCGUUGUCCGGAUUUACUGGGUGUAAAGGGUGCUCAGGCGGAUUUGUAAGUCAGAGGUGAAAUCUUACAGCUUAACUGUGAAACGGCCUCUGAUACUGCAAGCCUAGAGUAUGGAAGAGAGUGAUGGAAUAUCUGGUGUAGCAGUGAAAUGCGUAGAUAUCAGAUAUAACACCAAUGGCGAAGGCAGUCACUUGGUCCAUUACUGACGCUAAAGCACGAAAGCGUGGGUAGCAAACA